Molecule: ribosomal RNA, 397 nt
Filed under: Acanthamoeba genotype T4
Lineage: Eukaryota; Discosea; Longamoebia; Acanthamoebidae
Description: SSU rRNA
Rfam family: Eukaryotic small subunit ribosomal RNA
Source: RNAcentral
GUUCAAAGCAGGCAGAUCCAAUUUUCUGCCACCGAAUACAUUAGCAUGGGAUAAUGGAAUAGGACCCUGUCCUCCUAUUUUCAGUUGGUUUUGGCAGCGCGAGGACUAGGGUAAUGAUUAAUAGGGAUAGUUGGGGGCAUUAAUAUUUAAUUGUCAGAGGUGAAAUUCUUGGAUUUAUGAAAGAUUAACUUCUGCGAAAGCAUCUGCCAAGGAUGUUUUCAUUAAUCAAGAACGAAAGUUAGGGGAUCGAAGACGAUCAGAUACCGUCGUAGUCUUAACCAUAAACGAUGCCGACCAGCGAUUAGGAGACGUUGAAUACAAAACACCACCAUCGGUGCGGUCGUCCUUGGCGUCGGUCUUUCGGGGCCGGCGCGGGGACGGCUUAGCCCGGUGGCAC